This 787-nucleotide long non-coding RNA is filed under the name Glycine max (soybean). RNAcentral's name for it is "long non-coding RNA (GMAX_LNC001913)". The record is from RNAcentral. Lineage: Eukaryota; Viridiplantae; Streptophyta; Magnoliopsida; Fabales; Fabaceae.
UUUAUUUUUUUAUAUAAAGAGUUUACCAGUAAAAUCUAUAGAGAUUGAACUAGUUUACAAAAAUUUCCUGAGUUUGAUUAACGGUUUUAUAGUUAAAGCUCUAGCUAAUAAUAAGUCGUUGACAAAUCAAGUAGGUUUCUGUGGUACUGUGAUAGUAUUGAUCUAACACAAGACUUUAAUUAAGUUACAGUAACAUUACACCAGAUCAAACUAGAUACUCACAAUACAACAGCUCCUGUCUGCAGUCUAUAAAAGAUCUUACUGCAAUUCUUUGAGCUGCUUCCUAUGUAAUAUAUAUAUAUAUAUAUAUAUAUAUAUGAGAUGGCCUACUACAAACACACCAUUAUAUAUCAAGGUUUGAAUGAUCUAGCAAGACGAGUUUGUGGCUUGGGGUAAUUGACAAUCGUAAUCCCACCAUAGCGAGCUGCAGCAUCUCUGCUAUUGAUGACACUCAUAGGCUCUUCCAACUCAUCAUUGGGCACUUGAACCACCCAAGGUCCUUGUCUUGAAGGAAAUACCCCAUUCCUUUUGGGUCUGCUUUGUGCUGAUGGACCAUAAAACCUGUCUAUUAGAUCAAAGCCUUCAGAAGCUAUAACUCUCAGGUCAGUGGGUGGUGCCAUUGAUGAUUUGAUGAUGCUCAAUAACAGUACAAGAGACACCAGUUUCAGUGGAAGUUGAUGAUCUUUGAGUGUAUGUGUGUGUUUGUUAUCUUGCUUCUUGCUUCGAAACAAGAAGCGCAGGUCCACUUUAUAAAGAAGCAAAAGUGGUCUUCAUAUGGGACCAAGAA